Molecule: ribosomal RNA, 551 nt
Filed under: Pseudozobellia thermophila
Lineage: Bacteria; Pseudomonadati; Bacteroidota; Flavobacteriia; Flavobacteriales; Flavobacteriaceae
Description: bacterial SSU rRNA
Rfam family: Bacterial small subunit ribosomal RNA
Source: RNAcentral
AUUUGGAUUAAUGCCCCAUGGCAUCCGCUACCUGCAUGGGUAUCGGAUUAAAGAUUUAUCGGACAGGGAUGGCCAUGCGUACCAUUAGUUUGUUGGUGGGGUAACGGCCCACCAAGGCUACGAUGGUUAGGGGCCCUGAGAGGGGGAUCCCCCACACUGGUACUGAGACACGGACCAGACUCCUACGGGAGGCAGCAGUGAGGAAUAUUGGACAAUGGGCGGGAGCCUGAUCCAGCCAUGCCGCGUGCGGAAAGAAGGCCCUAUGGGUCGUAAACCGCUUUUAUACGGGAAGAAACCACCCCACGUGUGGGGUACUGACGGUACCGUAAGAAUAAGGACCGGCUAACUCCGUGCCAGCAGCCGCGGUAAUACGGAGGGUCCGAGCGUUAUCCGGAAUCAUUGGGUUUAAAGGGUCCGUAGGCGGGCCGUUAAGUCAGGGGUGAAAGUCUGCGGCUCAACCGUAGAACUGCCCUUGAUACUGGCGGUCUUGAGUCAUAUUGGAGUGGGCGGAAUAUGUAGUGUAGCGGUGAAAUGCAUAGAUAUUACAUAGA